UGCUUUAGCGCUGACCGGAACCUACUUUCUGGUGACAUUCGCCCCUCAUUCAUCGCCUCACGUCACGGCCAACAUGGUGGAGCGCUCGCUGGUCAGCUGGACCUUCCUGAUUUACUUUAUGUUUGAACUGAUUCUCUUCGCUAUCCUGAUGUAUUUGUACAAGUGCAGGAACAUAAAACACAUUGUGAUCAUGAUGAUCUUGGUGGCGUUACUCGCUUCGGUGACGGUGAUCUCGGUGAAAGCGGUUUC
Long non-coding RNA from Sinocyclocheilus grahami, 249 nucleotides. RefSeq lists it as uncharacterized. Lineage: Eukaryota; Metazoa; Chordata; Actinopteri; Cypriniformes; Cyprinidae. The transcript is spliced from 3 exons. The record is from RefSeq and is a predicted model, not a curated record.